Molecule: small RNA, 31 nt
Filed under: Bombyx mori (domestic silkworm)
Lineage: Eukaryota; Metazoa; Arthropoda; Insecta; Lepidoptera; Bombycidae
Description: ovarian small RNA-16856
Source: RNAcentral
GCGAUGGUCCGGGCCUGGCUUGGCGGGCGGC